CCUAUGCCACAGCCACAUCAACACGGGCUCCAAGCCAAGUCUGCAACCUACACCAAAGCUUAGGGCAAUGCUGGAUCCUUAACCCACCAAGCAAGGCCAGGGAUUGAACCUGUGUCCUCAUGGAUACUAGUCAGGUUCGUUACCAUUGAGCCACAACAGGAACUCCCUGGCUGAUAGGGAUUAAAUACCAGUUGUGGCCAGCUGGGUUCUCCCAAGUGUUUUUCUCCUGCUCCAGGGGGCUGGCUUUGGAGGACUGGGAUUUGGGACUUGGGUCACACUUCACAGGCAUGGGCUGGAUCGAGCCGUGGAAAGGUCCUGGAUGCUUUGGCAGAACUGGUUUUCCCUGGUGGUCUAGUUAAAGAGUUGACUUGAGGGUGGUUUACAUGUCCUUGUCCCCAGGAACACAGGAGCAUGUCUGUGCAGGUGUCCUGUAAAUAUAUAUAUUGGUGAAGGCCACUAAGGUCUCUCACUUCAAUCGGUUAAAAGUGGCAGGGAAGGUGAGUACCUGGCAAGAUAAGUGGGCCAGGCCUUGGUGGCAUCAGUUCUGAAAAAGAGAAAGGCCUUCAGAGGCAUGUCUGCCACAUAGCAUAUGACCUUUCUCCAGCCCAGCUUGUUUUCCCACCACACUGACCACUGUCCUGGGGUAGCUGCUUCUCCCUGUUGCUCCACCCUCAAAUCCUGUUUUUGCAUUGAUUACUCCCUUUGGUUCCCCAGAUUCAGAAGUAUGAGCUGCAGUGGUUCUGAGCAACCUCUCGCUCUGACAGCCACCUUCUCCCAGGUGUUUGGAGAGGCCACCUGGGAUAAAGAGUCAGCCUGCGUGGUCCUGGGGAGUCACCCUGAGGAGAGCCAAUGCUGUUCCCAGGUUUCCUGAGGGCUGGGCACAGGUGUUCUUGCUUUGCAGGAGGCCAGCAGAUCCCUCCAAACUGAGGAAGAUAGGUUUGGGCCUCCACGAUCUGGCUGUGCCCAGAGGCUACCUCCCCUGAACACCUCACACGACUUGGAACUAGUUUGAAAAAACAGGCCCACGGAGGGAGGGAUCCCCUGCCCACCUCAGGAAGGUAAAUUGAGUCAGCAUCUGAAAUCAAUUAAUGUAAUACAUUCUAUGCAUAGAAGGAACAAAACCACAUGAUCAUCUCAGUAGACACAGAAAAAGUGUUUAACAAAAUUCAAUAUCCCUUCAUGAUGAAAACAUUCUAAAACCUAAAAAGAGAAGAGAGCUUCCUCAACCUGACAGAUGGAAUCUAUGAAAAAACCCUUAAUUAGUAUUAUGCCAGGUAGAGAAAAAUGAUGUUUUCCCCCUGAGGUCAAGAACAAGACAAGAGGAGUUCCCUUCGUGGCUCAGCGUUUAUGAUCCCGACUAGGGUCCAUGAGGAUGUGAGUUCAAUCCCUGGCCUCGCUCAGUGGGUUAAGGAUCAGGUGUUGUGGUGAGCUGUGGUGUAAGUCACAGAUGCAGCUCAUAUCCUGUGUUGCUGUGGCUGGGGUGUAGGCUGGCGGCUGCAGCUCUGAUUCAACCCCUAGCCUGGGAACCUCCA
This 1532-nucleotide long non-coding RNA is filed under the name Sus scrofa (pig). RNAcentral describes it as "lncRNA (ENSSSCG00005028264.1)". Lineage: Eukaryota; Metazoa; Chordata; Mammalia; Artiodactyla; Suidae. The record is from RNAcentral.